Molecule: microRNA precursor, 115 nt
Filed under: Arachis hypogaea (peanut)
Lineage: Eukaryota; Viridiplantae; Streptophyta; Magnoliopsida; Fabales; Fabaceae
Description: miR3520 stem-loop (ahy-MIR3520)
Source: miRBase by way of RNAcentral
GACCUGGGUCCUCUAUUUAUAGGUGAUGGUGAAUAUCUUAUCUUAUCUUAUUUGGUUAAGAUAAGGGAGACGUUUGAAUUAUCCUAUGGAGACAUUUNAAUUCGAAAGUUGGUUA